This 305-nucleotide ribosomal RNA is filed under the name uncultured bacterium. Its description in RNAcentral is "bacterial SSU rRNA". It matches the Rfam family "Bacterial small subunit ribosomal RNA", at positions 333 to 635 of the family's 1533-position model. The record is from RNAcentral.
UAGUCCCUACGGGAGGCAGCAGUGAGGAAUAUUGGUCAAUGGGCGGGAGCCUGAACCAGCCAAGCCGCGUGAGGGAAGAAGGUACAGCGUAUCGUAAACCUCUUUUGUCAGGGAACAAAGGCGGGGACUAGUCCCCGGAUGAGGGUACCUGAAGAAGAAGCCCCGGCUAACUACGUGCCAGCAGCCGCGGUAAUACGUAGGGGGCAAGCGUUAUCCGGAUUUACUGGGUGUAAAGGGGGCGCAGACGGCGAUGCAAGCCAGGAGUGAAAGCCCGGGGCCCAACCCCGGGACUGCUCUUGGAACUG